GUGCUCACUUUGGCAGUACAUAUACCAAAACUAGAACAAUACAGAGAAGAUUAGCAUGACCCCUAUACAAGGAUGACAUGCAGAUUUGCAAAGCAUUCCAUAUUUUU
Monodelphis domestica (gray short-tailed opossum) is the source of this 107-nucleotide small nuclear RNA. Lineage: Eukaryota; Metazoa; Chordata; Mammalia; Didelphimorphia; Didelphidae. The record is from Ensembl.